ACUUUAAGCGAGGAGGAGGCUACUUUAGUUAAUACCUAGAGAUAGUGGACGUUACUCGCAGAAUAAGCACCGGCUAACUCUGUGCCAGCAGCCGCGGUAAUACAGAGGGUGCGAGCGUUAAUCGGAUUUACUGGGCGUAAAGCGUGCGUAGGCGGCUUAUUAAGUCGGAUGUGAAAUCCCCGAGCUUAACUUGGGAAUUGCAUUCGAUACUGGUGAGCUAGAGUAUGGGAGAGGAUGGUAGAAUUCCAGGUGUAGCGGUGAAAUGCGUAGAGAUCUGGAGGAAUACCGAUGGCGAAGGCAGCCAUCUGGCCUAAUACUGACGCUGAGGUACGAAAGCAUGGGGAGCAAACAGGAUUAGAUACCCUGGUAGUCCAUGCCGUAAACGAUGUCUACUAGCCGUUGGGGCCUUUGAGGCUUUAGUGGCGC
This 426-nucleotide ribosomal RNA is filed under the name uncultured Acinetobacter sp. RNAcentral's name for it is "bacterial SSU rRNA". It matches the Rfam family "Bacterial small subunit ribosomal RNA", at positions 432 to 849 of the family's 1533-position model. Lineage: Bacteria; Pseudomonadati; Pseudomonadota; Gammaproteobacteria; Moraxellales; Moraxellaceae. The record is from RNAcentral.